UUGACCUCGGAUCAGGCAGGGAUACCCGCUGAACUUAAGCAUAUCAAUAAGCGGAGGAAAAGAAACCAACAGGGAUUGCCUCAGUAACGGCGAGUGAAGCGGCAACAGCUCAAAUUUGAAAUCUGGCUCUUUCAGGGUCCGAGUUGUAAUUUGUAGAAGAUGCUUUGGGUGUGGCUCCGGUCUAAGUUCCUUGGAACAGGACGUCAUAGAGGGUGAGAAUCCCGUACGUGACUGGUUGCCUCCGCCGUGUAAAGCUCUUCGACGAGUCGAGUUGUUGGGAAUGCAGCUCUAAAUGGGUGGUAAAUUCUCUAAGCUAAAU
RNAcentral lists this ribosomal RNA (319 nucleotides) under uncultured Cenococcum. Its description in RNAcentral is "eukaryotic LSU rRNA". It matches the Rfam family "Eukaryotic large subunit ribosomal RNA", at positions 1 to 321 of the family's 3401-position model. Lineage: Eukaryota; Fungi; Ascomycota; Dothideomycetes; Gloniales; Gloniaceae. The record is from RNAcentral.